RNAcentral lists this ribosomal RNA (300 nucleotides) under uncultured Methanocella sp. RNAcentral describes it as "bacterial SSU rRNA". It matches the Rfam family "Bacterial small subunit ribosomal RNA", at positions 496 to 795 of the family's 1533-position model. The record is from RNAcentral. Lineage: Archaea; Methanobacteriati; Methanobacteriota; Methanomicrobia; Methanocellales; Methanocellaceae.
GGUAUCGACGGGCAAGCUAGGGGGGUAAUAAGUAGGGGGCAGGCGUGAAUCGGAAUAAUGGGGCGUAAAGGGGGAGAAGGCGAGUAUAUAAGAAAGAGGUGAAAUCCCCGGGCUCAACCUGGGAACGGCUGUUGUGACGGUAGAGCUAGAGGACGGCAGAGGGGGAUGGAAUUCCGCGUGUAGCAGUGAAAUGCGUAGAUAGGCGGAGGAACACCGAUGGCGAAGGCAAUCCCCUGGGCCUGUACUGACGCUCAUGCACGAAAGCGUGGGGAGCAAACAGGAUUAGAUACCCUGGUAGUC